This 497-nucleotide ribosomal RNA is filed under the name uncultured bacterium. RNAcentral's name for it is "partial 16S ribosomal RNA". It matches the Rfam family "Bacterial small subunit ribosomal RNA", at positions 28 to 507 of the family's 1533-position model. The record is from RNAcentral.
GAUGAACGCUGGCGGCGUGCCUAAUACAUGCAAGUCGAGCGAACAGAUAAGGAGCUUGCUCCUUUGACGUUAACGGCGGACGGGUGAGUAACACGUGGGUAACCUACCUAUAAGACUGGGAUAACUUCGGGAAACCGGAGCUAAUACCGGAUAAUAUUUCGAACCGCAUGGUUCGAUAGUGAAAGAUGGUUUUGCUAUCACUUAUAGAUGGACCCGCGCCGUAUUAGCUAGUUGGUAAGGUAACGGCUUACCAAGGCGACGAUACGUAGCCGACCUGAGAGGGUGAUCGGCCACACUGGAACUGAGACACGGUCCAGACUCCUACGGGAGGCAGCAGUAGGGAAUCUUCCGCAAUGGGCGAAAGCCUGACGGAGCAACGCCGCGUGAGUGAUGAAGGUCUUCGGAUCGUAAAACUCUGUUAUUAGGGAAGAACAUACGUGUAAGUAACUGUGCACGUCUUGACGGUACCUAAUCAGAAAGCCACGGCUAACUACGUG